AAUCCGACCUAGGCUCAUCUGAUAGCGCAAGGCCCGAAGGUCCCCUGCUUUCUCCCGUAGGACGUAUGCGGUAUUAGCGUCCGUUUCCGAGCGUUAUCCCCCACUACCAGGCAGAUUCCUAGGCAUUACUCACCCGUCCGCCGCUCUCAAGAGAAGCAAGCUUCUCUCUACCGCUCGACUUGCAUGUGUUAGGCCUGCCGCCAGCGUUCAAUCUGAGCCAGGAUCAAACUCU
RNAcentral lists this ribosomal RNA (232 nucleotides) under uncultured bacterium. Its description in RNAcentral is "partial 16S ribosomal RNA". The record is from RNAcentral.